RNAcentral lists this long non-coding RNA (1144 nucleotides) under Homo sapiens (human). RNAcentral describes it as "HSALNT0040942". Lineage: Eukaryota; Metazoa; Chordata; Mammalia; Primates; Hominidae. The record is from RNAcentral.
UUUAUUUUCCUUGCAUUUUUGUUUAUCAUAAACCAGCUACAACUACAAUAGACGAAAUAUCACCUCUCUGUGCUUCUUGUUUCUUUACUGUGAAAGUAGUGAGCGUGACUAGUUGGUCUCUAAACCUCUGCCCUGCCUAGGAUUUCUUUUUUUUUUUUUUUUUUUUUUUUUGAGAUGGAGUCUCACUCUGUAGCCCAAGCUGGAGUGCAGUGGUGUGAUCUCAGCUCACUGCAAGCUCCGCCUCCCGGCUUCACACCACUCUCCUGACUCAGCCUCCCGAGUAGCUGGGACUACAGGCGCCCACCACCACACCAGGCUAAUUUUUUGUAUUUUUAGUAGAGACGAGGUUUCACCGUGUUAGCCAGGAUGGUCUCGAUCUCCUGAUCUCGUGAUCCACCGGCCUCAGCCUCCCAAAGUGCUGGGAUUACAGGCGUGAGCCACUGCACCUGGCCUGCCCUAUCUAGGAUUUCUUAUUGGGGUUUAAACAAUUUCUCUUCUGUGGUGGUUAGACCUAUGAAAGAAAAAUGUUUUAUUAAAUAUAUUUUAACAUUAGAUAUGUUCAUACUUUGAAAUAUUUAUAGAUUGGGUAAACAUUUUUCUUUUAUAUGUCUAAUAAAUUGCAUUUUCCUCAUUACAAGAAAAAGUUUUCUCUAUAUAAUAUCUAUCUAUCUAGCCUAUCUGUCAUCUAUCUAUCUAUCCGUCCAUCCUACAUGGAAUGCCAAUCUAUAGAGAAAAUCACUGCUACAACUUUAGUAUAUUUGCUGUUAGUGAUUUACUCUAUAGAAGAAUACAUAUAUAUUUAAAGGAAGUUGCCACAAAACUGUGUUAGUUUCUUAUUCUUUUUUCCCUUCACUCUACAUUAGUUAAAACCUUAUCCCCAUAUCAUUGGAUAUUCUUUAAAAACACAACUGCAAAAUCUUUAAUUAGAUGAACAUGCUGUAGCUGAUUAACUGUUCUCCUGCUGUUGGACAUUUAAGUUGUUUUCACUUUUUCUCUGGCAACAAAAAUCUUACCUAAUGAAUCUUAGUGUACACCUACGAACAUGACCUUAAAAUCAAUUCCUAAUAUGACAAUUUUAAAGUUCUUGACUUGUAGUACUACAAUGCCAUCCAGAAAGAUUGUGUAAAUUCACUCUGCCACCAGU